GAUGAACGCUGGCGGCGUGCCUAAUACAUGCAAGUAGAACGCUGAAGGAGGAGCUUGCUCUUCUGGAUGAGUUGCGAACGGGUGAGUAACGCGUAGGUAACCUGCCUGGUAGCGGGGGAUAACUAUUGGAAACGAUAGCUAAUACCGCAUGACGACAGUUAUUGCAUGAUAACUGUUUAAAAGGGGCAACUGCUCCACUACCAGAUGGACCUGCGUUGUAUUAGCUAGUUGGUGAGGUAACGGCUCACCAAGGCGACGAUACAUAGCCGACCUGAGAGGGUGAUCGGCCACACUGGGACUGGGACACGGCCCAGACUCCUACGGGAGGCAGCAGUAGGGAAUCUUCGGCAAUGGGCGGAAGUCUGACCGAGCAACGCCGCGUGAGUGAAGAAGGUUUUCGGAUCGUAAAGCUCUGUUGUAAGAGAAGAACGAGUGUGAGAGUGGAAAGUUCACACUGUGACGGUAUCUUACCAGAAAGGGACGGCUAACUACGUG
RNAcentral lists this ribosomal RNA (495 nucleotides) under uncultured bacterium. RNAcentral's name for it is "partial 16S ribosomal RNA". It matches the Rfam family "Bacterial small subunit ribosomal RNA", at positions 28 to 507 of the family's 1533-position model. The record is from RNAcentral.